This is a long non-coding RNA of Humulus lupulus (European hop), 336 nucleotides long. RefSeq lists it as uncharacterized. The transcript has 2 exons. Lineage: Eukaryota; Viridiplantae; Streptophyta; Magnoliopsida; Rosales; Cannabaceae. The record is from RefSeq and is a predicted model, not a curated record.
CCCCCCGAAGUUCUAUCGCCGAUGUGAGUUUGGAGGAUUUUUCUGGCCUCCACCGUCUUCGAAACAAGAAUUCAAGGGAAUGGUUGGGUUUGUGAGCUCAAGAUAAGAAAAACCCCUAUGGAAAUUGGACUGAAAUGUCGCUGGAGGUGCUCACCAAUGUCAAGAACGACUUUCUUCUUCUUCUUGGAUAUCUGAAUGACUUCACCUGUGCUGGCCUCUUCGCUCCUAAUAGCUUCUUCUUCAAAACCAGGGCACUUCUGAGAGAAUUGCCUCCUUUUAUGAGCUUUGAUGUGUAUAUUAUUUGGUGUAAAGUAUAUAUAGAAGCAUUGGCUUAUG